RNAcentral lists this ribosomal RNA (484 nucleotides) under uncultured bacterium. RNAcentral describes it as "bacterial SSU rRNA". It matches the Rfam family "Bacterial small subunit ribosomal RNA", at positions 30 to 507 of the family's 1533-position model. The record is from RNAcentral.
AUUGAACGCUGGCGGCAUGCCUUACACAUGCAAGUCGAACGGCAGCACGGGAGCAAUCCUGGUGGCGAGUGGCGAACGGGUGAGUAAUAUAUCGGAACGUGCCCAGUCGUGGGGGAUAACGUAGCGAAAGCUACGCUAAUACCGCAUACGAUCUACGGAUGAAAGCGGGGGAUCGCAAGACCUCGCGCGAUUGGAGCGGCCGAUAUCAGAUUAGCUAGUUGGUGGGGUAAAAGCUCACCAAGGCGACGAUCUGUAGCUGGUCUGAGAGGACGACCAGCCACACUGGAACUGAGACACGGUCCAGACUCCUACGGGAGGCAGCAGUGGGGAAUUUUGGACAAUGGGCGCAAGCCUGAUCCAGCAAUGCCGCGUGCAGGAUGAAGGCCUUCGGGUUGUAAACUGCUUUUGUACGGAACGAAACGAUGAGCUCUAAUAAAGCUUGCUAAUGACGGUACCGUAAGAAUAAGCACCGGCUAACUACGUG